This 566-nucleotide ribosomal RNA is filed under the name uncultured Glomeromycotina. RNAcentral describes it as "SSU rRNA". It matches the Rfam family "Eukaryotic small subunit ribosomal RNA", at positions 539 to 1114 of the family's 1831-position model. Lineage: Eukaryota; Fungi; Glomeromycota. The record is from RNAcentral.
UUGGAAGGGCAAGUUCUGGUGCCCGCAGCCGCGGUAAUUCCAGCUCCAAUAGCGUAUAUUAAAGUUGCUGCAGUUAAAAAGCUCGUAGUUGAAUUUCGGGACCAAUAUGUCGGUCGUGCCUCGGUACGUACUGGCAUCGUUGGUUUCUCCCUUCUGACGAACCAUGAUGUCAUUUAUUUGGUGUCGUGGGGAAUCAGGACUGUUACUUUGAAAAAAUUAGAGUGUUUAAAGCAGGCUCACGCUUGAAUACAUUAGCAUGGAAUAAUGAAAUAGGACGUUUGAUUCUAUUUUGUUGGUUUCUAGGAUCGACGUAAUGAUUAAUAGGGAUAGUUGGGGGCAUUAGUAUUCAAUUGUCAGAGGUGAAAUUCUUGGAUUUAUUGAAGACUAACUACUGCGAAAGCAUUUGCCAAGGAUGUUUUCAUUAAUCAAGAACGAAAGUUAGGGGAUCGAAGACGAUCAGAUACCGUCGUAGUCUUAACCAUAAACUAUGCCGACUAGGGAUCGGAUGAUGUUAAUUUUUUAAUGACUCAUUCGGCGCCUUACGGGAAACCAAAGUGUUUGGGUUC